UACAGAGGUCCCAAGCGUUGUUCGGAUUCACUGGGCGUAAAGGGUGCGCAGGUGGUCGGGUAAGUCUGACGUGAAAUCCCGCAGCUUAACUGCGGAAUGGCAUUGGAUACUAUUCGGCUAGAGGGUUGGAGGGGGGACUGGAAUUCUCGGUGUAGCAGUGAAAUGCGUAGAUAUCGAGAGGAACACCAGUGGCGAAGGCGAGUCCCUAGACAACUCCUGACGCUGAGGCACGAAAGCUAGGGGAGCAAACAGG
RNAcentral lists this ribosomal RNA (253 nucleotides) under uncultured bacterium. RNAcentral describes it as "partial 16S ribosomal RNA". It matches the Rfam family "Bacterial small subunit ribosomal RNA", at positions 524 to 776 of the family's 1533-position model. The record is from RNAcentral.